CUUGUCAUCUGUACCUCUAGCAAGCAUACU
RNAcentral lists this non-coding RNA (30 nucleotides) under Cricetulus griseus (Chinese hamster). Lineage: Eukaryota; Metazoa; Chordata; Mammalia; Rodentia; Cricetidae. The record is from RNAcentral.